Molecule: ribosomal RNA, 371 nt
Filed under: uncultured organism
Description: partial 16S ribosomal RNA
Rfam family: Bacterial small subunit ribosomal RNA
Source: RNAcentral
GUAGGUGGCAAGCGUUGUCCGGAAUUAUUGGGCGUAAAGCGCGCGCAGGCGGUUCUUUAAGUCUGAUGUGAAAGCCCACGGCUCAACCGUGGAGGGUCAUUGGAAACUGGAGAACUUGAGUACAGAAGAGGAAAGCGGAAUUCCACGUGUAGCGGUGAAAUGCGUAGAGAUGUGGAGGAACACCAGUGGCGAAGGCGGCUUUCUGGUCUGUAACUGACGCUGAGGCGCGAAAGCGUGGGGGAGCAAACAGGAUUAGAUACCCUGGUAGUCCACGCCGUAAACGAUGAGUGCUAAGUGUUAGGGGGUUUUCGCCCCUUAGUGCUGCAGCUAACGCAUUAAGCACUCCGCCUGGGAGUACGGCCGCAAGGCUG